GCAUCGGUGGUUCAGUCGUAGAAUACCGGCCUUCCAUGCAGGACACCUAGGCUUUAUUCCCCGCCAAUGCA
This 71-nucleotide transfer RNA is filed under the name Loxodonta africana (African savanna elephant). It matches the Rfam family "tRNA". Rfam says of the family: Transfer RNA (tRNA) molecules are approximately 80 nucleotides in length. Their secondary structure includes four short double-helical elements and three loops (D, anti-codon, and T loops). Lineage: Eukaryota; Metazoa; Chordata; Mammalia; Proboscidea; Elephantidae. The record is from Rfam by way of RNAcentral.